UACGGAGGGUGCGAGCGUUGUCCGGAAUCACUGGGCGUAAAGGGCGCGUAGGUGGCCGAGCAAGGUCGCGGUGAAAGCCCGGGGCUCAACCCCGGGUCGGCCGUGGCAACUACUUGGCUUGAGCACUGUAGGGGCGGGUGGAAUUCCGGGUGUAGCGGUGGAAUGCGUAGAUAUUCGGAGGAACACCAGUGGCGAAGGCGGCUCACUGGCUCGGUACUGACGCUGAGGUGCGAAAGCGUGGGGAGCAAACAGG
This 253-nucleotide ribosomal RNA is filed under the name uncultured bacterium. RNAcentral's name for it is "partial 16S ribosomal RNA". It matches the Rfam family "Bacterial small subunit ribosomal RNA", at positions 524 to 776 of the family's 1533-position model. The record is from RNAcentral.